CCUACGGGUGGCAGCAGUGAGGAAUAUUGGUCAAUGGACGAGAGUCUGAACCAGCCACGUAGCGUGAAGGAUGACUGCCCUAUGGGUUGUAAACUUCUUUUAUACGGAAAUAAAACGCGGCACGUGUGCCUUUUUGCAUGUCCUUUAUCAAUACGGAUCGGCUAACUCCGUGCCAGCAGCCGCGGUAAUACGGAGGAUCCGAGCGUUAUCCGGAUUUAUUCGGUUUAAAGGGAGCGUAGAUGGGUGGUUAAGUCAGUUGUGAAAGUUUGCGGCUCAACCGUAAAAUUGCAAUUGAUACUGGCAGGCUGGAGUACAGGUGAGGUAGGCGGAAUUCGUGGUGUAGCGGUGAAAUGCGUAGAUAUCACGAAGAACCCCGAUGGCGAAGGCAGCUUACUAAACUGUGACUGACAUUGAGGCUCGAAAGUGUGGGUAUCAAACAGGAUUAGAUACCCUUGUAGUC
This 460-nucleotide ribosomal RNA is filed under the name uncultured bacterium. RNAcentral describes it as "partial 16S ribosomal RNA". It matches the Rfam family "Bacterial small subunit ribosomal RNA", at positions 338 to 795 of the family's 1533-position model. The record is from RNAcentral.